GGCGCGUGCUGCCUGAGGGGGAGGUGCGGGCGUGUGAGGUCAGCCCCUGCACGCGCCUUCGUGUGCACGCGCAACUCUGCUUGAGGCACAUAUAUAAGCAACACGUGGGUAUACAGAGCCACGGGAACGGUGUAUGAAGCAUGUUUUAGAAGCGAUCACUUACUACUAAUAAGAGGCUCUUCCCACGUGUGUUCCUAGUUAUGGAUCAGGCGAAGCUGAUUAUUGUUUUACUGGCAAAGUUACGUCACUGGCCAGCUACAACAAGGAGUGAAGCCUUCCAUUUCUCACUUGCAGUCACCAGCUUCCAGUGUUCAGUAUUCAUAAAGCUGCUAAAAUCAAAGGAAUGCCAGAACAUCUCCGGUUUCACUGUAAGAAAGAGAAUCUAUCCUGUCUCAUUCUGAGAAAAGCCUGAAAACACGAGGAAGGCAUACCAAAUAAUGGUGUG
Long non-coding RNA from Gallus gallus (chicken), 445 nucleotides. The record is from Ensembl. Lineage: Eukaryota; Metazoa; Chordata; Aves; Galliformes; Phasianidae.